Molecule: ribosomal RNA, 477 nt
Filed under: uncultured bacterium
Lineage: Bacteria
Description: bacterial SSU rRNA
Rfam family: Bacterial small subunit ribosomal RNA
Source: RNAcentral
GUAGCGACUCCUACGGGAGGCAGCAGUGGGGAAUAUUGCACGAAUGGGGGAAACCCUGAUGCAGCCAUGCCGCGUGUAGUGAAGAAGGCCUUCGGGUUGUAAAGCACUUUCAGUAGGGAGGAAGGUAGUGUAGUUAACACCUGCAUUAUUUGACGUUACCUACAGAAGAAGCACCGGCUAACUCCGUGCCAGCAGCCGCGGUAAUACGGAGGGUGCGAGCGUUAAUCGGAAUUACUGGGCGUAAAGCGCAUGCAGGCGGCCUGUUAAGUCAGAUGUGAAAGCCCGGGGCUUAACCUCGGAAUUGCAUUUUGAAACUGGCAGGCUAGAGUCUUGUAGAGGGGGUAGAAUUUCAGGUGUAGCGGUGAAAUGCGUAGAGAUCUGAAGGAAUACCAGUGGCGAACGGCGGCCCCCCUGGACAAAGACUGACGCUCAGAUGCGAAAGCGUGGGGAGCAAACAGGAUUAGAUACCCCUGGUAG